UAAAUUGAAGCCGAAAGUAAGGCGCUUAGCUGUUAACUAAGAAUUAGUAGGAUAAAUACCUGCCAAUUUAG
Molecule: transfer RNA, 71 nt
Filed under: Tlacuatzin canescens
Lineage: Eukaryota; Metazoa; Chordata; Mammalia; Didelphimorphia; Didelphidae
Description: tRNA-Asn
Rfam family: tRNA
About the family: Transfer RNA (tRNA) molecules are approximately 80 nucleotides in length. Their secondary structure includes four short double-helical elements and three loops (D, anti-codon, and T loops).
Source: RNAcentral